AAAUUGAAGAGUUUGAUCAUGGCUCAGAUUGAACGCUGGCGGCAGGCCUAACACAUGCAAGUCGAACGGUAACAGGAAGCAGCUUGCUGCUUCGCUGACGAGUGGCGGACGGGUGAGUAAUGUCUGGGAAACUGCCUGAUGGAGGGGGAUAACUACUGGAAACGGUGGCUAAUACCGCAUAACGUCGCAAGACCAAAGAGGGGGACCUUCGGGCCUCUUGCCAUCAGAUGUGCCCAGAUGGGAUUAGCUUGUUGGUGAGGUAACGGCUCACCAAGGCGACGAUCCCUAGCUGGUCUGAGAGGAUGACCAGCCACACUGGAACUGAGACACGGUCCAGACUCCUACGGGAGGCAGCAGUGGGGAAUAUUGCACAAUGGGCGCAAGCCUGAUGCAGCCAUGCCGCGUGUAUGAAGAAGGCCUUCGGGUUGUAAAGUACUUUCAGCGGGGAGGAAGGUGUUGCGGUUAAUAACCGCAGCAAUUGACGUUACCCGCAGAAGAAGCA
This 502-nucleotide ribosomal RNA is filed under the name Salmonella enterica subsp. enterica serovar Infantis. Its description in RNAcentral is "partial 16S ribosomal RNA". It matches the Rfam family "Bacterial small subunit ribosomal RNA", at positions 1 to 492 of the family's 1533-position model. The record is from RNAcentral. Lineage: Bacteria; Pseudomonadati; Pseudomonadota; Gammaproteobacteria; Enterobacterales; Enterobacteriaceae. RNAcentral also lists the same sequence under 2 other names.